CCUACAGUAAGUUACAAAAGGUACAAAAGGAUGCAAAAUACGUUUAUAUUGAGCAUGUCUGUAUCCAUGCUUCACUUCUCUAAUGGUGGACCUAAAGCAAGUUGUGCAUUGCAAUAUGUGUAGGAUUGAUGAGAUUAUAAACUGUUUGAUCACUGUGUUUUUCAGGUUUUACUCUGCACUGGUGCAGCCUCACACUGAGUACUGUGUGUAGGCUGCAGAGUGAGUGACAGAACAAAAAGCAGCUGACCUCUUCAUUUAUGGCAAUGCUGGGAAGUGAGGCAGGGGAAGCAAGGGAGGACCGGAAGCUGCUGAAUUUCUCUCAAUCAAGUGAAUAAUAUUCACUGGCCACAUCAUUAAAUGAUCUCUUCUCCACUAAAGACUCAUUGGAUAUGUACAUGAGAACUGGGUGCGUUCCUUGGAUGCUAUCACUUGAAAAACUUGCAGUUUCUUCUGCAGAGAGAAGCCUCAUCCCACCUCCUCUGUCAUGAACACCCUUCCAAGAAGUGAAGGCCAUUGUAAGAGCUGCUGUUUUUUGACCUGGCUGUGCAGUAUGUGCAAACAGAGAGAGAGAUUCAUCAAGAGAAGUCAGAAGUCUGUAGUUACAAGGAUGAAACUAGAAUUUAAAAAGCAACACAGUGCUGAAGGAUGUGUUUAAAAUGCAAUCCAAGGUAAAUGCAGAACUUGUACUAUCUGACAUCAAAAUCAUAUUAUGUUGCCCUUGUGUGCUCUGAAGUAGCAGAGAUUUCAAGAUAUUUCCAGUGACUUCUGGCAGAUUUAGCUUAUGAGCAGUUUGUCUAUGACCACGGAUAAAAACAACAGCCUUAACUAAUCUAUGCAGUCUUCCAGAGAGUUCCUGAGAACAUUACAGUAGCAAUAAGCGCAGUGCACACAGGCCAUGGUAGGAGGCCUUCAGAAAUAUAAGUCAUGAUGUUGGAAUUGCCAUGGAGCCCAGGUGGGUAGAUAAGUUAAAAUAUUUUGUUGUGGCAUUGUAGCUAGCAUCUAGGCUUUAGAUGCACAUUUUGGCCUUGCCCUGGGCCGCCCUCAGCAGAGCGCCCCCUGCCGUCCGCCCCAGAGCAGCGCCCAACCGCGGGCCGGCUCCCUGCUGCCCGUGGCCGCCGCGUGACCCGACUGAGGCGGGCACGGCCGCCCCCUUCCCACGGCAGCCCGAGGCUUUCGAG
RNAcentral lists this long non-coding RNA (1178 nucleotides) under Numida meleagris (helmeted guineafowl). RNAcentral's name for it is "lncRNA (ENSNMEG00000022599.1)". Lineage: Eukaryota; Metazoa; Chordata; Aves; Galliformes; Numididae. The record is from RNAcentral.